Molecule: ribosomal RNA, 253 nt
Filed under: uncultured bacterium
Lineage: Bacteria
Description: partial 16S ribosomal RNA
Rfam family: Bacterial small subunit ribosomal RNA
Source: RNAcentral
GACAGAGGGUGCAAACGUUGUUCGGAAUUACUGGGCGUAAAGCGCGUGUAGGCAGCUCGGAAAGUCGGAUGUGAAAGCCCUGGGCUCAACCUAGGAAGUGCAUUCGAAGCUUCCGAGCUGGAGUGCUGGAGAGGAAGGCGGAAUUCUCGGUGUAGAGGUGAAAUUCGUAGAUAUCGAGAGGAACACCGGUGGCGAAGGCGGCCAACUGGACAGAUACUGACGCUGAGACACGAGAGCGUGGGGAGCAAACAGG